RNAcentral lists this ribosomal RNA (301 nucleotides) under uncultured bacterium. Its description in RNAcentral is "partial 16S ribosomal RNA". It matches the Rfam family "Bacterial small subunit ribosomal RNA", at positions 509 to 807 of the family's 1533-position model. The record is from RNAcentral.
CAGCAGCCGCGGGAAUACGAAGGGGGCUAGCGUUGUUCGGAAUUACUGGGCGUAAAGGGCGCGUAGGCGGCCAUUCAAGUUAGAUGUGAAAGCCCUGGGCUCAACCUAGGAAUUGCAUUUGAUACUGUUUGGCUUGAGUUCGGGAGAGGUGAGUGGAAUUCCCAGUGUAGAGGUGAAAUUCGUAGAUAUUGGGAAGAACACCAGUGGCGAAGGCGGCUCACUGGACCGACACUGACGCUGAGGCGCGAAAGCGUGGGGAGCAAACAGGAUUAGAUACCCGUGUAGUCCCUGUCUCUUAUAC